This is a non-coding RNA of Ictidomys tridecemlineatus (thirteen-lined ground squirrel), 1054 nucleotides long. The record is from RefSeq and is a predicted model, not a curated record. Lineage: Eukaryota; Metazoa; Chordata; Mammalia; Rodentia; Sciuridae.
GUAGAAUACAGCUCCUGGGGAAGUAGCUUUUCCUCACCCUUGGGAUCUGAAGGAGGAAGUGGUUAUGGGGUAGAAGUACCUCCAUGAUGUGAUCCCAGGUGCCUUUGCAACACAGGAAGUGCAGCCACUGCUGGGUGGAUCUGGGAGAGGAAGGAUCUGAGCCCGGACCUGAACGUCCUUGUGUGCCACGGCGCCCUCCCUGGUCCUCAAUCCUGAUCGCCCUUGACCGAAGGACAGCAGAUGGCCAUGGUGUGGUCUCAGUGAAAGCAGCAAAACCACCCAUAGUGACAUUUUCAAAGGGAAAAUCGGAAGCAAGGCAAGAAAGACAGGGGAUCUCAUGUGGCAGGAAUUGGGUUUCUGCCCUCCUUCCACAAGUGCUCGGUGAGGAACUUUUUCAGCUUUGCAAAGCAGCAGAGGUCUCAGCACUCGUGGUCCUGGGAGGGUGUGAGAUCUGCAAGAAAGCCCUGAGGUCUACACGUGCAAAUGUCCUGCGAGGGAGCUCUCCUGCACGUGCACCUCAGGGGUGGCCUCCCGGCAGUGUUUCUGUUUACAAAGAAGAGCCCUCCCACCCAUGCCUGUGACGGUGGUAUGGGAGCAGCAGCGUGAGGCUGCACUAGUCGGAGAAGCAGUGAUCAUUCAGACUGGCAAGGGGUUAUUACCAAAGUGCACCGAGGACCAGCUCGCUUAGCCUGCCGGUCGGGCAGGGACUGCAGGAGCCGUUGGGACACACUUUUAGGUGAGAAGAGAUUUGGGGGAAACAAGAUUAACGUUCUUCCUGUCCUGAGCUGAGUUUUCUCUCUUCUGGCUCGCUGACCACAGAAGUGAAGAGAUUCGAACUUGGGAGCUGGUCCCACUGGAUCUAAGGAAUGGUUUUCUCUCAAGGCUAGGAUCACACCACGGAUUAUGACUCCAGAGAGAUACAACUGGAGCUUAGUCUGUAUCUCACCACUUUAAAAGUCCUCUGCUCCUUCUGCAGUUAGAAUCACAGACUCGGAGACGAGAGCCCACUGUGUUCUUCUUUUCGAGCAAAUGAAUAAAACUUCUGUUUAUUUUU